CCUACGGGAGGCAGCAGUAGGGAAUCUUCCACAAUGGGCGAAAGCCUGAUGGAGCAACGCCGCGUGGGUGAAGAAGGUCUUCGGAUCGUAAAACUCUGUUGUUAGAGAAGAAAGUGCGUGAGCGUAACUGUUCACGUUUCGACGGUAUCUAACCAGAAAGCCACGGCUAACUCCGUGCCAGCAGCCGCGGUAAUACGUAGGUGGCAUGCGUUAUCCGGAUUUAUUGGGCGUAAAGGGAACGCAGGCGGUCUGUUAAGUCUGAGGUGAAAGACUUCGGCUUAACCGGAGUAGUGCAUUGGAAACUGGGAGACUUGAGUGCAGAAGAGGAGGGUGGAACGCAAGGUGUAGCGGUGAAAUGCGUAGAUAUAUGGAAGAACACCAGUGGCGAAGGCAGCUCUCUGGUCUGUAACUGACGCUGAGGUUCGAAAGCGUGGGUAGCAAACAGGAUUAGAUACCCUGGUAGUC
Molecule: ribosomal RNA, 465 nt
Filed under: uncultured bacterium
Lineage: Bacteria
Description: partial 16S ribosomal RNA
Rfam family: Bacterial small subunit ribosomal RNA
Source: RNAcentral